Molecule: long non-coding RNA, 2006 nt
Filed under: Mus musculus (house mouse)
Lineage: Eukaryota; Metazoa; Chordata; Mammalia; Rodentia; Muridae
Description: predicted gene 10280
Source: RNAcentral
CAAGAAGAUAGUGGAACUGCACUUAGAAUAUGAGAGGACUUUCCUGCCCUGAAAUCAUCUAAGUGGAUCAUUUAGUGCAAAGGAUCCAGGAUCAAGUUUUAAAUGAAGGUGACAAUCAAGAUUUCAUUUUGAAUAUAUUUACACAAACGGCAAGAACACUGACUUUAAAUGUCCUGACUUGGAUAGCAAUUUUCAGGCCAGAUUUACUCAGCAUAUCCCAAGUACCAGCUGGAAAAAGCCUCAGGUAUUUACCAUGGAAACAAGACACUGCCCUUGGGCAGUUCUGUAUUUUCUAUUCCUACUGUCCCUUUCUCUCCCAACCACCUUGGGGGCAUUGAUGGUUAAGAAGACCUCCAUUACAGAAGACUCUACAUCAAAGAAUCUUCAUGGAUCUUUAUGAGGCUUCAACAAUAUGUAACUCCUUUUUAUGCCUUACCACCAAGGGAACCAUUAGAAGAUGGGGAUCUAUGUGGAAGAAGUAGACCAAGAGUGACAGAAUUUUAAGCUUGUCCCUAAACCCUGGGUCCUGACAGACUUUUUGCUGAUCCACUGUGAUGUGAAUGGCCUAUGUCACCUGUCCCUGAUGCCAUGAUAUGAAUCUCUCUGCUGUGCUUUCCCCAUCAUGAUGAACUUAAACCCUGAACCCAAAUAUGUCUUCAACCUGCUUGUGUCUGUCAAGGAUUAUCAUCAUAGCAAUGCAAAAUGUAUCAAUGUGUCAAGUAACAGUUAUUGUACCUAGUAAUGGUCCUACUGUGCAAUAGACAGUUAAGAUCUACCAUGCCACCAAUUCAGAUGUGCCAAAGGAGAGUGGGAGAAUACUUCCUUUAGGGGGAAAGGUCUCAAAACAUAUAAAACAUUUACUUGUACCGGCAGGUACUUUCAGUGGUUCUGAGAUGUCUCCGCCCAUAAAUCAGAGGAAUACCUAUAUUUGGAAUUCAGCUUUUUUUGAGGCAUUACUUCUGCAAGUAUGUGUAAUGGAGGAAGGGAUGUCUUUAAGGAAAGAUUCUACUAAUGGAGGUUUCAAAGAAGAUGGCUGCUGUAAGCAAGCUAAUUAGACAUUCACUGCUAACAAUCUUGACCUCAAUUAGGUGAAGGAUUCCUAAUUAAAUCCUUUCAGGCUUUUGUGUUAAAUGGUAAUUGAAUGCCUAAAAGAUCCUCACAAUUAUAUCAUAUUAACAAGAAUGUAUUUGCAUUUUUAAUGCUUUAUUGAUUUCCAAUUCAUUAUAGAGCUGCUUAUGUUAUUUCACAGUGCCGUUGAAACCUUUGUAAACUGUUCUUUGGUGUCCAGACACUCGGGCACAGGUUAGAAAAGUAGCAAAGUUUGUUGUGACCCACUCUGGGCAUUUGCAGACUGCAGUAGCUUAGCUGCCUCUGCCCACAGCUGUCACCACCUCUUUAAACAUUCAUGAGCAUGUAUGCAGGAAGAAGACUUGGGGAAGCUGGAGACACACAGUCUAGACCACUCUCUUGGCUGUUGGUAAAUCUCAUACUCUCAUGAAGUGCCAUCUCUUUUGAGGUAGGCCUUUGCAGAUUUAUUUACUCUAUUAAAUGUAUGGGUGUUAUGUCUGCAUGUAUGUAUGUGUAACAUGUGCAUGAUUGGUGCUUGCAGAGGCUAGAAGAGGAUGUUGGAUACUGUAGGACUGAAGGUAUGGCUAGUUGUGAGCCAUCUUGUGGAUUCUGGGAAUCAAACCCAGGUCCUGCCCAAGAGCAAACAUGCUCUAAACCACUGAGCCAUCUUAAUAGCUCUGAUUCCAGCCCACCCUUCAGAGUUUACAUAUAAUUAGUUCUCCGAAUGAUUUGUUUCUGCACUUAGAAUCUUCAGAUUUCAAUAUGUUGUAUGGUCAUUCUCUUGACACAAAAUUAUGGCUAAUAAUUUAUGUCUAUGUUCAUUAGAGAUGUGAGUGUGGCCUCAUAUCAUUUCAUUCAUCUGUCUCCUUAAAAUUUUUUAAUCGCAUCUGUUAACAGUAUUUCUUUUAAUUCAAUGAUCCUGUCAACCUACCUCUAAA